This 1228-nucleotide long non-coding RNA is filed under the name Homo sapiens (human). Its description in RNAcentral is "LHRI_LNC305.1". Lineage: Eukaryota; Metazoa; Chordata; Mammalia; Primates; Hominidae. The record is from RNAcentral.
CCGUCACCAUCUGGGCCUGCCUGUGCGCCUCCAGGCGGUGUGGGUCUUUGCUCUAGAACUGUGCCACCCGACCCCUUCCUUUAGCCGGGGUCUCACGCCCACAGCAUGUGGCAUCGUGAUGUCAGCGUCUCCCCAGCAGAUAGGGGUCUCCAACGACUGGGGAGGGGCAGGUCAGUCCACCUCCACCCAGGGACCGAAGCAGGACAAAGGGCCCUGCAUCCCCGAAGCUCCCACCCUUUCGGGCCCUGCACCAGGUACCCUGGACCCUGGCAUUCCGGGACGUUAUUCCCGUGACACCCCAGGGUGGGUUGUGUGGAUGGAGACCGGAUGUGCAUGCCCCUCGUGGCACUGGUUGGAGCCCUGAGUAGCAAAAGAGACGUCAGAACCAACUCCCCUGAGUGGCCCCAAAGCCUAUUCUCAAGGAAGCCACAGCAGGGCCAGGAGGGUAGUCACCCGGUGGGUUACAAACUGGGCAGCCCACGCCCAGCACUGGAGGUUGCUCUGGCCCUGGGAGCACUCCCACCGGUCCAUGAAGAACUGCAGCCAGCCAGGGGCCUAGAAGGACCCACAGCAGGGACCAUGGUGAGGGGUACAGAGACGGCGGGAGGGGCACGGCCAUGCUCAGGGUGACCGAGUGACAUCUCUGCUCUAAGAUCAGGGGCUGCCCUGGGGAGCCCAGCUGAGGAGGGGCACGGGAGGGUGGAGGGGUCUGCCCACUGAGGGGCACCAGCGAUCACCCGUGACCCAAGAAGAGCUGGAAGAAAAAACCUUCCCUUCUCAUCUCAUCCUUCCUCCCUGCCACACCCCGACACCCUCAGCAAAACAAGACUGCAGACAGAGACCAGCAGCCCCCCUCCCCAAGAGGUUGUGAAUCCAGGCAGCUGGAGAGGGGGAGAGACCAGCUGUCACCAAGACCAACAGUAGCCUCAAAUCCCUGGGGCUGCCUGCUCCACACCCCAAGUCUCCCCCAAGCAACCCAGGAUGCAGCUGGGGUCGCGGGUCCGCCCCAGCUGGGGGCCGUCUACAACCCAAGCAAGAGGCGCAGAGCAGCCCUGGAAGGGACCCCACUCCCAUCUCAACCACUGGGCCCUGACAGCUCCCAAGGGCCUCAGUCUGGGGACGGGGUCUGGCUGUGGGAGCGCGGCUGGAGCAGACCACGGGAUUGGGGCUCGCGCCCCUCCAGGGAACAUGCCGCCGUGUCGCCAUCUUGCAAGGCACAGGCGGGGAG